Molecule: ribosomal RNA, 158 nt
Filed under: Cladosporium asperulatum
Lineage: Eukaryota; Fungi; Ascomycota; Dothideomycetes; Cladosporiales; Cladosporiaceae
Description: 5.8S ribosomal RNA
Rfam family: 5.8S ribosomal RNA
About the family: 5.8S ribosomal RNA (5.8S rRNA) is a component of the large subunit of the eukaryotic ribosome.
Source: RNAcentral
AAACUUUUAACAACGGAUCUCUUGGUUCUGGCAUCGAUGAAGAACGCAGCGAAAUGCGAUAAGUAAUGUGAAUUGCAGAAUUCAGUGAAUCAUCGAAUCUUUGAACGCACAUUGCGCCCCCUGGUAUUCCGGAGGGCAUGCCUGUUCGAGCGUCAUUU